ACACGCAUGACACACUGCAUAUCAAUAAGCGGAGGAAAAGAAACUAACAAGGAUUCCCUUAGUAACGGCGAGUGAAGCGGGAAGAGCUCAAAUUUGAAAUCUUCAAGGUUCUACCUUGACGAAUUGUAGUUUAUAGAAGUGUUUUCUGUUAGUAGAGUUUGGUAAAAGUUCUUUGGAAUAGGACAUCAUAGAGGGUGAGAAUCCCGUAUUUGGAUCAUUAUUUCCAGCUGUGUGAUACACUUUCAACGAGUCGGAUUGUUUGGGAAUGCAGUCCAAAAUGGGUGGUAAAUUUCAUCUAAAGCUAAAUAUUGGCGAGAGACCGAUAGCGAACAAGUACCGUGAGGGAAAGAUGAAAAGAACUUUGAAAAGAGAGUUAAACAGUACGUGAAAUUGUCAAAAGGGAAGCGUUUGACACCAGUGUUGUUUUUCCGAAAAUCAAUUACGAAUGUUUUAGUUUUUGAGAAGUUAUGACUUCAUCGGCUUGCUUCUCUCUUUAUGAAACUUUCUUAAUGCACUUUUCGGUUAACAAGUCAACAUCAAUUUCUUUUGUUGUAAAAGGGUAUGAGGAAGGUGGCUUUCUUUUCGGAGAAAGUGUUUAUAGCCUUGUACCUCUGCAAUCGGAGAGAUUGAGGUCUGCAGCGUAGAUCCUUCGGGGUUAGAUACAUUUGUGCUAAGUUAUAGCUUUUCAUAGACAACUUGUUGACUAUGUUUAGUCUUGUAGCUUACUCGCUUAUGCUAUUUUACCUACGCUUAGGAUGUUGAGCGCAUGUCUCUCUCU
RNAcentral lists this ribosomal RNA (778 nucleotides) under uncultured Neocallimastigales. RNAcentral describes it as "partial large subunit ribosomal RNA". It matches the Rfam family "Eukaryotic large subunit ribosomal RNA", at positions 23 to 637 of the family's 3401-position model. Lineage: Eukaryota; Fungi; Neocallimastigomycota; Neocallimastigomycetes; Neocallimastigales. The record is from RNAcentral.